CCUACGGGUGGCAGCAGUGAGGAAUAUUGGUCAAUGGACGCAAGUCUGAACCAGCCAUGCCGCGUGCAGGAAGACGGCUCUAUGAGUUGUAAACUGUUUUUGUACGAGGGUAAACUCAGAUACGCGUAUCUUUCUGAAAGUAUCGGACGAAAAAGGAGCGGCUAACUCCGUGCCAGCAGCCGCGGUAAUACGGAGGAUUCAAGCGUUAUCCGGAUUUGGUGGGGUUAAAGGGUGCGUAGGAGGUCGGGUUAGUUAGUGGUGAAAUCCCGAGGCUCAAAUUCGGAAUUGCCUCUGAUACUGGUAGGCUAGAGAGUAGUUGCGGUAGGCGGAAUGUAUGGUGUAGCGGUGAAAUGCUUAGAGAUCAUACAGAACACCGAUUGCGAAGGCAGCGUACCAAGCUACGUCUGACGUUGCGGCACGAAAGCGUGGGGAGCAAACAGGAUUAGAUACCCCUGUAGUC
RNAcentral lists this ribosomal RNA (460 nucleotides) under uncultured bacterium. RNAcentral describes it as "partial 16S ribosomal RNA". It matches the Rfam family "Bacterial small subunit ribosomal RNA", at positions 338 to 795 of the family's 1533-position model. The record is from RNAcentral.